GAAUAUUGGUCAAUGGACGAAAGUCUGAACCAGCAACGCCGCGUGCGCGAUGAAGGCCUUCGGGUCGUAAAGCGCUUUUCUGUGGGAAGAGAAAGGACGGUACCCCAGGAAUAAGUCUCGGCUAACUACGUCCCCGCAGCCGCGGUAACACGUAGGAGGCGAGCGUUAUCCGGAUUUACUGGGCGUAAAGCGCGUGCAGGCGGUUUGGUAAGUUGGAUGUGAAAUCUCCUGGCUCAACUGGGAGAGGUCGUUCAAUACUGCCAGACUAGAGGACGGCAGAGGAAGGUAGAAUUCCCGGUGUAGUGGUGAAAUGCGUAGAUAUCGGGAGGAAUACCAGUGGCGAAGGCGGCCUUCUGGGCCGUUCCUGACGCUCAGACGCGAAAGCGUGGGUAGCGAACGGG
RNAcentral lists this ribosomal RNA (401 nucleotides) under uncultured bacterium. RNAcentral describes it as "bacterial SSU rRNA". It matches the Rfam family "Bacterial small subunit ribosomal RNA", at positions 359 to 776 of the family's 1533-position model. The record is from RNAcentral.